This 72-nucleotide transfer RNA is filed under the name Marmota monax (woodchuck). RNAcentral's name for it is "tRNA.Undet". The record is from RNAcentral. Lineage: Eukaryota; Metazoa; Chordata; Mammalia; Rodentia; Sciuridae.
UGAGAGUGUUGCUCAGUGGUAGAGCACUUGCCUAGCAUGUGCUCGGCCUGGGUUCAGUCCCCAGCACCACAA